AGCAGCCGCCACGGUAAUACGGAGGGUGCAAGCGUUAAUCGGAAUUACUGGGCGUAAAGCGCACGCAGGCGGUCUGACAAGUCAGAUGUGAAAUCCCCGGGCUUAACCUGGGAACUGCAUUUGAAACUGUCAGGCUGGAGUCUUGUAGAGGGGGGUGGAAUUCCAGGUGUAGCGGUGAAAUGCGUAGAGAUCUGGAGGAAUACCGGUGGCGAAGGCGGCCCCCUGGACAAAGACUGACGCUCAGGUGCGAAAGCGUGGGGAGCAAACAGGAUUAGAUACCCGAGUAGUCCCUGUCUCUUAUAA
Molecule: ribosomal RNA, 303 nt
Filed under: uncultured bacterium
Lineage: Bacteria
Description: partial 16S ribosomal RNA
Rfam family: Bacterial small subunit ribosomal RNA
Source: RNAcentral